RNAcentral lists this ribosomal RNA (443 nucleotides) under uncultured bacterium. Its description in RNAcentral is "partial 16S ribosomal RNA". It matches the Rfam family "Bacterial small subunit ribosomal RNA", at positions 338 to 795 of the family's 1533-position model. The record is from RNAcentral.
CCUACGGGUGGCAGCAGUGGGGGAUAUUGGACAAUGGGGGAAACCCUGAUCCAGCGACGCCGCGUGAGUGAAGAAGUAUUUCGGUAUGUAAAGCUCUGUCAGCAGGGAAGAAAGAAAUGACGGUACCUGACCAAGAAGCCCAGGCUAACUACGUGCCAGCAGCCGCGGUAAUACGUAGGGGGCAAGCGUUAUCCGGAAUUACUGGGUGUAAAGGGAGCGUAGACGGUGAUGCAAGUCUGGAGUGAAAGGCGGGGGCCCAACCCCCGGACUGCUCUGGAAACUGUGUAACUUGAGUGCAGGAGAGGUAAGUGGAAUUCCUAGUGUAGCGGUGGAAUGCGUAGAUAUUAGGAGGAACAUCAGGGGCGAAGGCGACUUACUGGACUGUAACUGACACUGAGGCACGAAAGCGUGGGGAGCAAACAGGAUUAGAUACCCGGGUAGUC